RNAcentral lists this ribosomal RNA (170 nucleotides) under uncultured bacterium. RNAcentral describes it as "partial 16S ribosomal RNA". It matches the Rfam family "Bacterial small subunit ribosomal RNA", at positions 338 to 525 of the family's 1533-position model. The record is from RNAcentral.
UCUACGGGAGGCAGCAGUGGGGGAUCUUGCACAAUGGAGGGAACUCUGAUGCAGCGACGCCGCGUGAGGGAAGACGGUUUUCGGAUUGUAAACCUCUAUCCCCGGUGACGAUAAUGACGGUAGCUGAGGAGGAAGCUCCGGCUAACUACGUGCCAGCAGCCGCGGUAAUA